This 310-nucleotide ribosomal RNA is filed under the name uncultured Gammaproteobacteria bacterium. Its description in RNAcentral is "bacterial SSU rRNA". It matches the Rfam family "Bacterial small subunit ribosomal RNA", at positions 197 to 491 of the family's 1533-position model. Lineage: Bacteria; Pseudomonadati; Pseudomonadota; Gammaproteobacteria. The record is from RNAcentral.
ACGGGGAAAGGAGGGACUUCGGCCUUCCGCGAUUGGAUGAACCUAGGUGGGAUUAGCUAGUUGGUGGGGUAAUGACUCACCAAGGCGNNGAUCCCUAGCUGGUCUGAGAGGAUGAUCAGCCACACUGGAACUGAGACACGGUCCAGACUCCUACGGGAGGCAGCAGUGGGGAAUAUUGCACAAUGGGCGAAAGCCUGAUGCAGCCAUGCCGCGUGUGUGAAGAAGGCCUUCGGGUUGUAAAGCACUUUCAGCGAGGAGGAAAGGUUAAGUCUUAAUACGGCUUAGCUGUGACGUUACUCGCAGAAGAAGC